UCUCACUACUGCACUUGACUAGUCU
RNAcentral lists this non-coding RNA (25 nucleotides) under Callithrix jacchus (white-tufted-ear marmoset). RNAcentral also lists the same sequence under 4 other names. The record is from RNAcentral. Lineage: Eukaryota; Metazoa; Chordata; Mammalia; Primates; Cebidae.